AAUCGCUUAGGAAAAGUAGUGUUUUCUUUUGUUGAAAUCAAAGAUUAUUAGAAGAUAUGGUCACAAACGAAGAGUGGAAGUCUUUGGUGCCAUUUCCACUACGGUACCAACGACAUAAGGCACCUGCUUGAGAAAACAUUAUCACUCUUUCUUUAUUUGGAUCUUUAAUUUUAAUAUUAUAUAUGCAUUAAUCCAUAGGCAAAUCUCCAAAAUAUCAUAUUUCUAAGUUUAUAUCACAAAAAUAGCACUCAAAAACUAAAAUGACCAAAAUAGUAUUUUAUCUUUUGAAAAUUUUAAUUUUUUUAUUUUUCAAAAUUUGAAAUCUUAUCCCCAAAACCUCAUUUCUCAACUCUAAACCCUAAACCCUAAACUCUAAACCUUAAACCCUAAACCCUAAACUCUAAACCCUAAACCCUAAACCCUAAACUCUAAACCCUAAAUCCUAAACUCUAAACCCUAAACCCUAAACCCUAAACCCAAAAUCUAAACCCUAAACCCUAAACCCUAAACUCUAAACCCUAAACCCUAAACCCUAAAUCGUAAACUUCACCCUUUAACUCUAAACCCUAAGUUUGUGACUUUUGAUAAAACAUUAAUUGCUAUUUUUGUGACUUUUGACCUUGAGUGCUAGUUUGAGA
RNAcentral lists this long non-coding RNA (638 nucleotides) under Brassica napus (rape). Its description in RNAcentral is "long non-coding RNA (BNAP_LNC010878)". Lineage: Eukaryota; Viridiplantae; Streptophyta; Magnoliopsida; Brassicales; Brassicaceae. The record is from RNAcentral.